This 203-nucleotide unclassified non-coding RNA is filed under the name Hevea brasiliensis (rubber tree). Lineage: Eukaryota; Viridiplantae; Streptophyta; Magnoliopsida; Malpighiales; Euphorbiaceae. The record is from RNAcentral.
CGCAGCUUGGGAAGAUUAUGCUACCAUUUUAAGGAGAGAACUCCUUGGGAGCUUGAGCCAUUGGAGAAACAGUCAAUCCAUAUAUAGUGUUUCACUUGGUAGCUGAAUCUCCCACUUGUGAGAAAGUGGCAUCCCAAAUGCUAAAAGUAUCUGAGCAUAAAGGUUAGUUUUGAGCCUUUUAUAGCUUAACUAGAUUAUUAUAG